GACGAACGCUGGCGGCGUGCUUAACACAUGCAAGUCGAACGGAAAGGCCCUGCUUUUGUGGGGUGCUCGAGUGGCGAACGGGUGAGUAACACGUGAGUAACCUGCCCUUGACUUUGGGAUAACUUCAGGAAACUGGGGCUAAUACCGGAUAGGAGCUCCUGCUGCAUGGUGGGGGUUGGAAAGUUUCGGCGGUUGGGGAUGGACUCGCGGCUUAUCAGCUUGUUGGUGGGGUAGUGGCUUACCAAGGCUUUGACGGGUAGCCGGCCUGGGAGGGUGACCGGCCACAUUGGGACUGGGAUGCGGCCCAGACGCCUACGGGGGGCAGGAGUGGAGAAUAUUGCACAAUGGGCGGAAGCCUGAAGCAGGAACGCCGCGUGCGGGAUGACGGCCUUCGGGUAGUAAACCGCUUUCGCCUGUGACGAAGCGUGAGUGACGGAAAUGAGGAAAGAAGCACCGGCAAACUACGU
This 467-nucleotide ribosomal RNA is filed under the name uncultured bacterium. Its description in RNAcentral is "partial 16S ribosomal RNA". It matches the Rfam family "Bacterial small subunit ribosomal RNA", at positions 28 to 506 of the family's 1533-position model. The record is from RNAcentral.